AUUGAACGCUGGCGGCAGGCCUAACACAUGCAAGUCGAACGGUAACAGGAAGAAGCUUGCUUCUUUGCUGACGAGUGGCGGACGGGUGAGUAAUGUCUGGGAAACUGCCUGAUGGAGGGGGAUAACUACUGGAAACGGUAGCUAAUACCGCAUAACGUCGCAAGACCAAAGAGGGGGACCUUCGGGCCUCUUGCCAUCGGAUGUGCCCAGAUGGGAUUAGCUAGUAGGUGGGGUAACGGCUCACCUAGGCGACGAUCCCUAGCUGGUCUGAGAGGAUGACCAGCCACACUGGAACUGAGACACGGUCCAGACUCCUACGGGAGGCAGCAGUGGGGAAUAUUGCACAAAGGGCGCAAGCCUGACGCAGCCAUGCCGCGUGUAUGAAGAAGGCCUUCGGGUUGUAAAGUACUUUCAGCGGGGAGGAAGGGAGUAAAGUUAAUACCUUUGCUCAUUGACGUUACCCGCAGAAGAAGCACCGGCUAACUCCGUG
RNAcentral lists this ribosomal RNA (490 nucleotides) under uncultured bacterium. Its description in RNAcentral is "partial 16S ribosomal RNA". It matches the Rfam family "Bacterial small subunit ribosomal RNA", at positions 30 to 507 of the family's 1533-position model. The record is from RNAcentral.